This is a small nuclear RNA of Cercocebus atys (sooty mangabey), 62 nucleotides long. Its record names the gene U7. It matches the Rfam family "U7 small nuclear RNA". From Rfam's summary of the family: Animal histone pre-mRNAs are spliced by a different mechanism than nuclear pre-mRNAs and self-splicing introns. This processing involves the U7 snRNP, which contains only one RNA species: U7. Lineage: Eukaryota; Metazoa; Chordata; Mammalia; Primates; Cercopithecidae. The record is from Ensembl.
UAGUAUUACAGCUAUUUGAGAAUUUGUCUAGCAGGUUUUCCGGUCUUUACUGGAAAGCCACC